Mobula hypostoma (lesser devil ray) is the source of this 3646-nucleotide long non-coding RNA. RefSeq lists it as uncharacterized. The transcript has 3 exons. The record is from RefSeq and is a predicted model, not a curated record. Lineage: Eukaryota; Metazoa; Chordata; Chondrichthyes; Myliobatiformes; Myliobatidae.
GCGGCCUUGAGGCCACGAAGCCUGGGGAUGGGCUGUGACCCUAUGAUCAACUCCAUUCUCACCGAGCUCACCAAUUAAAGAGUCGAGGAAAAUUGAAAUCACCGAGGACAGGGCGGAAGGCCAUGGAAGAAAACAAAAGGGGAGGAGCACCAGGGGGAGGUGACGGGCAGCAGGUUCAUCAUACAUCAGAUAUGCUCCCACAUAUCCAUCACCCUCCAAUUUAAAGGCACGUGCGUGAAAGAAAACAUUGUGUAAGGACGUAACUCACCAGCUUCAGGAGACCAGUGGUGUGUUUCAGGAACAGUUGACUGCAUUGUCACAAGGGAAACAGAGGCUUUUCACACAGGCUGCAAGGUUCCUAUUGCCAGGGGACCUGCAGGGGCCUUCUGUGUCACUCGCCAAGACCAUUUAGCACAGAAGCCGCGAGUAUUGCGCCACCCGGCAGUGUAUGAAGAGUCGCUGCUUUCAGUUUGUUAAAGUGCCUCACUAACGGGUCAGCCAAAAUCACUGCAGCAACAGUGCAACCACAGCACCACUGCUGUGUGCUCCACUGCGCACAGACAGACUGCCGGUGCCCGCAGAGCAAAAUUGCGCAUUGCACAGUGCGAGUUCAAGCACCCCAUCCACCACCUUAAACAUUUCCUCCUUCCACCGCCCGCACACAGCGAUUGCAGUGUGCAUUGUCUAUAGAACGCACUGCAGGCGACUCUGACAGCACCUCUGCCAUCAAAGGCAGUAGGGGAACACCACCACCAGCAGGCUCCCCUCCAUGUCACAGGCCAUCCCGAAUGAUAUCAGCAUUCCUUCGCCGUCACUGGGUCGAAGUCCUGGAACUCCUUCCACAACGGCUCUGUGGGAGAAACCUUCACCCGAAGGACUGCAGGGGAUUUGAGCGGGCAGCUCACCCCAUCUUCCCAAGGGUCAUCGGGGAUGGGCAAUAAAUGCUGGUCUUGCCAACAGGGAUGAUUAAAAAAAAAUAAAGCUGUGUUUGCCGAGGACUGAUGCUGUGAGGAACUACGACCCAGAAAGCAAAACAAGAAUUUGAUGCAGGUGAUAAAUCACGAGAGGUGAGAGCUCUAAUAGCCCUUCCCACAUGCAUUAGCGCUGUGAUCUAAUCGGGACUGCAGUGUGUUCACAGGCUCUGGGAAUUAUUGCGCUGAAUUGUGAUGCAUUGCAUGGUUCAAGUGGCAAUUGUAAGUGUUUUCCUGCUGUAAGCCAUUAUUAAUCAUCUUGAUGCUAUCAGGUCAAUCAAAUUUUGCCAUCUUGUGAUGACACCAUUAAGCCCUGAAGCUCACAGAACACAGACUGUUCAGCACAGGAACACGCCCUUUGGCUCAAGGUGUCCGAGCCAGAUACAAUGCUGAAUUAAAUCCCUUCUGCCUGUUCAUGAUCCAUAUCCCUCCAUUCCCUAUUCAUGUGCCUGUCUGAAAAACUCUUAACACCAGCAUCGUAUCUGCUUACACCACCACUGCUGGCAGCACGUUCCACACCCACCACUCUGUAAAAUAAAACUUGCCCCUCACUUUUCCUUUAAACUCUCCUCCUCUUAUCUUAAAUUCAUCCCCUCGGAUAAUCAACAGUUCUAUCCUGGGAAAGAGAUACCAUUUGUCUACCUUAUCUAUGCCUCUCAAUUUAAUAAAUCUCUGUUAGGUCUCCUGUCAGCCUCUGAUGGCCCAGAGGAAACAACCCAAGUUUGUCCAACCUCUCCUUGUAGCUCAUAUGCCCAGAUAAUCGAAGCAGGCUUGAUGGGCCAAAUGGCCUAAUUUUGCUCCUAUGUCUUAUCGUCUUAAGUCUCUUCUGCACCCCCUCCAAAACCUCCAUAUCCUUUCCAUAAUGGGCCGAUCAGAAUUGCACACAAUACUCCAAGUGCGGCCUAAGCAAAAUUUCAUACAGCUUCAUACAUGGCUUUUUUUUAACUCUUAUACUCAAUGCCCCAACUGAUGAAGAUAAGCAGCUUAAGGGCCUUCUUUACCAUCCUAUCUACUUGCGUGGCCACUUUCAGGAAGGUAUGGACUUGGAUCCUAAGAUCCUUCUGGACAUCAGUGCUGUUAAGGAUUCUGCCAUUAACUGUAUAGUUUCACCCUUACAUUUGACCUCCAAUGUGUAACAUUUUACAUUUGUCUGGAUUAAACUCCAUCUGCUAUUUCUCCAUCUAAUUCUAUAAUUGAUCUAUAUCCUGCAUUAUUCUUUGGCAACCUUCAACAAUAGCAGAGCAAGUGUCCCAUUAUGUUUCAAAGUACAUUAUGCAGCCAGAGUCCGCAAGUCCACCAAUCUUCGUGUCAUCUGUAAACUUGCUAACCCACCCAUUUACAUUUUCAUUCAAGUCAUUUAUAUACCUUACAAGCAUCAGAGGUCCCAGCACUGAUCCUUACAGAACACCACUGAACGUGGACCUCCAGCCAAAAUAAUAGCCUUCGACCACUACCCUCUGUCUUCUCUGGGCAUGUCAUUUCUGUAUCCAAACUACCAAGUUACCAUGGAUCCCAUGCACCUUCACCUUCUGGAUCAGCUUACCAUGAGACACCUUGUCAAAUGCCUUCCUGAAUUUAAAUUGGGCCCAAGCUCUGGGCAGAGCACUGGCUGCACAUUGUACUUUGAGACAUAAUGGAGCACUUGAUCUGCUAUGGUCCACCCUCCAUAUGAAUGUUGAAUUUCACAUCUGUUUAAGGCUGGCUCCAAUCUUGCUGGAAGGUUGGAAAGUCCAGCAGGCUGCAAGCCAACAGCACAAGCCUCUCAUUUCUCUGUCUGCAAAGUAAGAGCAACCAAGCAGUAAUCAGCAACAAAACAAGCACUGACGCGACAAAUAUAAUGCCCCAGCAGUGGCCUGGCAUGGCUUGGCACCCUCUCUUAGACACCCCUGAAGAAUUGGAUGAGUGAUGCCUUGUUGGGGGGAGGGGGAGGAGGGGAGAUGUUCUCACCAUUUGGAGUCAGCAUCUUUAUAAGAAAAUUCUGACAAAUCAGGACACUGGUAAUGAAAUAAUCCUUCAAUUCAUUGAUCAAGCUUCUGCUAUUUAAUUUCCUGAAGGAAUAUGCAACUAAACAUCACAGAUUCCCAAAUGCAAUUAAGCAAAAUGCUGCUGGCAUCCAUCCUUAUGUCUCCCAUUGUUCAAGUGUCACUGUCUCCUUAUUCAAGGCAGCAACUCCCUGAUUCAUUAAUGCCUGAAAAGGUUUUGGUGAGAGUUUAGCUCCAUUUGAGGUUCUCCUGCAGGAGAUUGGCUAAACCAACCCACUGAGAAAUGGCACCUAAAUUUAGGGCAGAUGAUCACAGGAAAUCCCCCCAGAAAUUUCCACAAACAGAUAAUUACUCAUCUCUUCUUCCUUUGAGUCAGUAUUCAGCACCCCAACAUACUACCUCAUUGGGAUGUCCCAUCAUUAUCCCUUGAGGCUCCACUCUUUGUGACAAAUCUAAUUUCAAUCAAAGCCACACAGCAAAGUAAAAUGACCCUUCAAAUUAGAAAGAAAUAAUCUCCAUGCAUGCCAAAAUAAAACAAGAUGUCUGCUGAAAAUAUCAGUCAGAAGCAUUAUGCUCAUUGCAGAUUAUAAGAGACAGGAAAAUUAUUCACCAACUGCUAUGUAAUUCAUUGGUAUUGAGAGACCUUGCCAUGCAGUGAUUAUAAUUAAAUCUGACCAGUUCUUUCAAAUUCCA